Molecule: non-coding RNA, 2294 nt
Organism: Chlorocebus sabaeus (green monkey)
Lineage: Eukaryota; Metazoa; Chordata; Mammalia; Primates; Cercopithecidae
Source: RefSeq, a predicted model, not a curated record
GAGACGGGGUUUCACCGUGUUAGCCAGGAUGGUCUCGAUCUCCUGACCUCGUGAUCCGCCCGUCUCGGCCUCCCAAAGUGCUGGGAUUACAGGCUUGAGCCACCGCGCCCGGCCUAGUCCAGAUAGCUUUCAACCGCCAUCCUGUUUCUUCCGUCUACUGGAGCACGGUCACGUGAGCUGCGCCGACGAGGAGCCUGGGACGUGGCGAGGUGGCGCGGCUGCCGCUAGGGGGAGCACGGGAGCAUUGAGUCCGUGGCUGAGAGCCCGCGGCGCCUGGGCUUGGCGCAGCGCGGCGCUCGGUGCAGGUGGACUCCCGGCGCACUGGCGCGGCUUAGAGAGACGCGCAGCUCAUGAAAUGCUCGGCGUCUAAGACCUUCGGAGACCACAGUCUCCGCGGACCCCUGGCUGGAGCCCAAAGCCGGCCGGACCUCCUCCCCGCGUCUCCCCUUCCGCGGCUCGGAGAGGAAGGCAGGGGAACCCCCAGAUAUCAUUCCCCUCUCGCCCCCUAGGGAAAAUGUGGCUGAAAGAGCCAGCCAGAGAACGAAAAAAAAAGUCGCGGAGGGGGGCGGCCCGAGCGACCUAAGGGACCGGGCAGCGCCAGCGACGGAGGGAAAUUGGUCGAGUUGAGGGGACAAAGAGACAAGCCCCCAGAAUUUGGGAGACUCCGAAGCUUGGAGCUUGGAGUCCUGAAAUUGACUCAGAUGACAACUGCUCCUAAUCUGUGCCAGGAGCCACACCCCGGGCUGCUCGCCCGGAGGGAGGGGGGCCCUAACACCUGUUGCGCGGAAUCCCCACUGGGAAAACCUCAGUAAACUCCAGAACGCAACUACUGCAUGUUCCAAUCUCCCGCCACCUUCCCAGUGUCUCAGAGAAGAAGAUACAGAAAAUGAAAAUGAAAAGAAAAUGUGGUACUACAGCACAAAGGUCUAGUUUGCAUAAUUAAUUGACUGUCUAGACAAAUAUUAGGAAGCAGAACUCUGCAAAAUUCUGGAAGAAAUGUGUGAAGAAAUCCACCGACACAUGGCCAUAACCGAAGGCCUGACUGAUAAGACUCGGGGCAGUAACAAAUCCUUUCUGGCGGCAGCUAAUGGCACAACGUCAACGUGGUACUAGAAGAGGAGGGAUUCACAAGAAUUGAAAAUUGACGGGGAAGAGAAGGGGUCAGUUCAUGUCCAGCCUCACUGUAAGGACAGAGAGCAAAAGCAACUAGAAGAAAGCAGCCAGUGGAUGAGGACACUUGAAAUCACCUUCUGAGCAACCACAGAAAGAGCCCAGAUGGGACAGGGGCAAGCCAGGAGCGAUGCUCUUCCUAGGCACUUGGCUCAUCUUUCAGUCAGCUCUCCUUUGAAGAUAACUAGCAGCUUUCUAGUUGUUUUUAUGUAAUCUUCGUUUUCUGUUUCUAAUUGUCUUGGUUGGGUUUAAGAUAUAGGAAAACUCUCUCAUAUUAGGCUGAACUGUGGAGCUACUUCGACAAGAGUGGGUAAUGUACCAUCUUCUGGCCAGAUCAUGCAUUUACAUGACUCUAAUGAUAGUCUUGUAUCGUCUUUAAUUGACAACAGGAAGAGCUAAAGAGAGACCUGAAAAUUAAGGACGAAAAAGACCUGAUGCAGGUGGCUCAGGCCACAGCAGUAGCUGCACCUUGCCCCACCAGUGACGGCAGCUCCUCCAGCCCCUCCACCUUCACCUCCCGCUCCACCUGCUGUGCAACACCCUGUCCUGUCCGCACCCACCAUACCUGCUGCUUCCCAGAAGAGGAAGGGGGAAGAGGAAAAAGACUCAAGCUCAACGUCCAAGAAGGAGAAAAUGCUCUCUGCUAAGGACACAAAGCUUUACUGUAUCUGUAAAGUGCCUUAUGAUGAAUCUAAGUGGGUAGAUCUUUUUGAGCUCUAGUUUUUUGUCUUGAAAGUUUAGCUAUGAAAUUGAAAGUUUUGGAGAAAAUGAAUAUUUUGGGAGUGAUAUAAAUAAAAAUAUUAAAUUUAAGAGUAAUGUUUCAUCUAUAGUCUUGGAUGCGAUAUUCUUACCCUUGACACUAGUGAAGUAAAAUUUGCUAUUUCAUGUGUUUGUGAUUGUCCUUUGUUAUAUUCUUUUCUGUCAAAAACAAGCUUUCUGUUGCUCCUUUGCUUUCUCCUCUUCCCUCUGAAUUAACUCCAAAUCAACGAGUAAUUGAUGUCUGGAGAAGGAGGUGUGUUACUGUUGCCCAAAAUGGGGAGCAUCCUUUCUGGGAUCUGUUCAAAGCCCUGUGAAUACAUGAAAUCCUGGAAACCAUUUGAACAUGAAUGGUCAGAGGUUUUGAA